RNAcentral lists this non-coding RNA (45 nucleotides) under Schistosoma margrebowiei. Lineage: Eukaryota; Metazoa; Platyhelminthes; Trematoda; Strigeidida; Schistosomatidae. The record is from RNAcentral.
AUUCAUCUGACGUGUCCCAAAUAGAACGAAACGCGCAUCCUGAAU